CCUACGGGUGGCAGCAGUGGGGAAUAUUGGACAAUGGGGGGAACCCUGAUCCAGCGACGCCGCGUGAGUGAAGAAGUAUUUCGGUAUGUAAAGCUCUAUCAGCAGGGAAGAAAGAAAUGACGGUACCUGACUAAUAAGCCCCGGCUAACUACGUGCCAGCCGCCGCGGUAAUACGUAGGAGGCACGCGUUAUCAGGAUUUACUUGGUGUAAAGGGAGCGUAGACGGCGAUGCAAGUCUGAAGUGAACUGCGGGGGCCAAACGCCCGGACUGCUUUGGAAACUGUAUGGCUGGAGUGCAGGAGAGGGAAGUGGAAGUCCUAGUGUAGCGGGGAAAUGCGUAGAUAUUAGGAGGGACACCAGUGGCGAAGGCGGCUUACUGGACUGUAACUGACGUUGAGGCUCGAAAGCGUGGGGAGCAAACAGGAUUAGAUACCCUUGUAGUC
Molecule: ribosomal RNA, 443 nt
Filed under: uncultured bacterium
Lineage: Bacteria
Description: partial 16S ribosomal RNA
Rfam family: Bacterial small subunit ribosomal RNA
Source: RNAcentral